Molecule: ribosomal RNA, 1052 nt
Filed under: human gut metagenome
Description: bacterial SSU rRNA
Rfam family: Bacterial small subunit ribosomal RNA
Source: RNAcentral
GAACGCUGGCGGCAUGCCUUACACAUGCAAGUCGAACGGCAGCGCGGGAGCUUGCUCCUGGCGGCGAGUGGCGAACGGGUGAGUAAUACAUCGGAACGUGUCCGUUUGUGGGGGACAACCAGCCGAAAGGUUGGCUAAUACCGCAUAAGACCUGAGGGUGAAAGCCGGGGACCGCAAGGCCUGGCGCAGACGGAGCGGCCGAUGAUUGAUUAGCUUGUUGGCGGGGUAAAGGCCCACCAAGGCGACGAUCAAUAGCUGGUCUGAGAGGACGACCAGCCACACUGGAACUGAGACACGGUCCAGACUCCUACGGGAGGCAGCAGUGGGGAAUUUUGGACAAUGGGGGCAACCCUGAUCCAGCCAUGCCGCGUGCGGGAAGAAGGCCUUCGGGUUGUAAACCGCUUUUGUCAGGGACGAAAAGGGACGGGUUAAGAGCUAGUUCCGCUGACGGUACCUGAAGAAUAAGCACCGGCUAACUACGUGCCAGCAGCCGCGGUAAUACGUAGGGUGCAAGCGUUAAUCGGAAUUACUGGGCGUAAAGCGUGCGCAGGCGGUUGGGUAAGACAGAUGUGAAAUCCCCGGGCUUAACCUGGGAACUGCAUUUGUGACUGUCCGACUGGAGUACGUCAGAGGGGGGUGGAAUUCCGCGUGUAGCAGUGAAAUGCGUAGAUAUGCGGAAGAACACCGAUGGCGAAGGCAGCCCCCUGGGACGCAACUGACGCUCAUGCACGAAAGCGUGGGGAGCAAACAGGAUUAGAUACCCUGGUAGUCCACGCCCUAAACGAUGUCUGCCGGUUGUUGGGGAUUUCUAUCUUCAGUAACGAAGCUAACGCGUGAAGCAGACCGCCUGGGGAGUACGGUCGCAAGAUUAAAACUCAAAGGAAUUGACGGGGACCCGCACAAGCGGUGGAUGAUGUGGAUUAAUUCGAUGCAACGCGAAAAACCUUACCUAGCCUUGACAUGUCAGGAAUGCUUCGUAAAUGAGGCAGUGCCCGCAAGGGAACCUGAGCACAGGUGCUGCAUGGCUGUCGUCAGCUCGUGUCGUGAGAUGU